GAUAUGCCUCUCACCAAUGCCCAGCUGCACUUGUCUCAGAAGAAGAGCAGUGACUCCAAGCCCCCGUCCUGCAGUGAGAGGCCCCUGACGCUCUUCCACACCAUUCAGUCAACAGAGAAACAGGAACAAAGGAACAGCAUCAUCAACUCCAGUUUGGAAUCUGUCUCAUCAAAUCCAAACAGCAUCCUUAAUUCCAGCAGCAGCUUACAGCCCAACAUGAACUCCAGUGACCCAGACCUGGCUGUGGUCAAACCCACCCGGCCCAACUCACUGUAAGUAUGAUGUCCAGCUGCCUACCCCACAAGGGCUUUGGUCAGCCAUUCCACCUAGAAUUUGCUAUCUGGCUCCAUCUGACUUUGGACCAUUGUCCCCUGAACAUUAUUUAAACCUCCUCCCUAAACUGGGAG
Molecule: small RNA, 407 nt
Filed under: Pongo abelii (Sumatran orangutan)
Lineage: Eukaryota; Metazoa; Chordata; Mammalia; Primates; Hominidae
Description: retained intron
Source: RNAcentral